This 253-nucleotide ribosomal RNA is filed under the name uncultured bacterium. RNAcentral's name for it is "partial 16S ribosomal RNA". It matches the Rfam family "Bacterial small subunit ribosomal RNA", at positions 524 to 776 of the family's 1533-position model. The record is from RNAcentral.
GACGUAGGGUGCGAGCGUUGUCCGGAUUUAUUGGGCGUAAAGAGCUCGUAGGCGGCUCGUCGCGUCGACCGUGAAACCCCGCAGCUUAACUGCGGGCCUGCGGUUGAUACGGGCGGGCUAGAGUUCGGUAGGGGAGACUGGAAUUCCUGGUGUAGCGGUGAAAUGCGCAGAUAUCAGGAAGAACACCCGUGGCUAAGGCGGUUCUCUAGUACGGUACUGACGCUGAGACGCGAAAGCGUGGGGAGCGAACAGG